RNAcentral lists this ribosomal RNA (439 nucleotides) under uncultured bacterium. RNAcentral describes it as "partial 16S ribosomal RNA". It matches the Rfam family "Bacterial small subunit ribosomal RNA", at positions 339 to 795 of the family's 1533-position model. The record is from RNAcentral.
CUACGGGGUGCUCCAGUGAGGAAUAUUGCACAAUGGGGGGAGCCCUGAUGCAGCAACGCCGCGUGGAGGAUGACGCAUUUCGGUGUGUAAACUCCUUUUAUAUGUCAAGAAAAUGACGGUAGCAUAUGAAUAAGCACCGGCUAACUCCGUGCCAGCAGCCGCGGUAAUACGGAGGGUGCUAGCGUUACUCGGAAUCACUGGGCGUAAAGGACGCGUAGGCGGGUUGGAAAGUCAGGUGUGAAAUCCUACAGCUUAACUGUAGAACUGCACUUGAAACUUCUAAUCUAGAGUAUGGGAGGGGGAGAUGGAAUUAGUGGUGUAGGGGUAAUAUCCGUAGAUAUCACUAGGAAUACCUAAAGCGAAGGCGAUCUCCUGGAACAUUACUGACGCUAAGGCGUGAAAGCGUGGGGAGCAAACAGGAUUAGAUACCCGUGUAGUC